CAAUAGCGUAUAUUAAAAUUGUUGCGGUUGAAAAGCUCGUAGUUGGAUUUCUGCUGAGUACGGCCGGUCCGCCCUCCGGGUGAGCAUCUGGUUCGGCCUUGGCAUCUUCUUGGUGCACGUGUCUGCACUUGACUGUGUGGUGAGGUACCCAGGACUUUUACUUUGAGGAAAUUGCAAUGUUUCAAGCAAGCAUACACCUUGAAUACAUUAGCAUGGAAUAAUAAGAUAGGACCUCGGUUCUAUUUUGUUGGUUUCUAGAGCUGGGGUGGUGAUUAAUAAGGGUAGUUGGGGGCAUUCGUAUUAAACUGUCAGAGGUGGAAUUCUUGGAUUUGUUAAAGACGGACUACUGCGACAGCAUUUGCCAAGGAUGUUUUCAUUCAUCAAGAACGAAAGUUAAGGGAUCGAAGACGAUUAGAU
This 417-nucleotide ribosomal RNA is filed under the name uncultured eukaryote. Its description in RNAcentral is "bacterial SSU rRNA". It matches the Rfam family "Eukaryotic small subunit ribosomal RNA", at positions 592 to 1013 of the family's 1831-position model. The record is from RNAcentral.